RNAcentral lists this ribosomal RNA (1531 nucleotides) under Salmonella enterica. RNAcentral's name for it is "bacterial SSU rRNA". It matches the Rfam family "Bacterial small subunit ribosomal RNA". Lineage: Bacteria; Pseudomonadati; Pseudomonadota; Gammaproteobacteria; Enterobacterales; Enterobacteriaceae. The record is from RNAcentral.
AGAGUUUGAUCAUGGCUCAGAUUGAACGCUGGCGGCAGGCCUAACACAUGCAAGUCGAACGGUAACAGGAAGCAGCUUGCUGCUUCGCUGACGAGUGGCGGACGGGUGAGUAAUGUCUGGGAAACUGCCUGAUGGAGGGGGAUAACUACUGGAAACGGUGGCUAAUACCGCAUAACGUCGCAAGACCAAAGAGGGGGACCUUCGGGCCUCUUGCCAUCAGAUGUGCCCAGAUGGGAUUAGCUAGUUGGUGAGGUAAUGGCUCACCAAGGCGACGAUCCCUAGCUGGUCUGAGAGGAUGACCAGCCACACUGGAACUGAGACACGGUCCAGACUCCUACGGGAGGCAGCAGUGGGGAAUAUUGCACAAUGGGCGCAAGCCUGAUGCAGCCAUGCCGCGUGUAUGAAGAAGGCCUUCGGGUUGUAAAGUACUUUCAGCGGGGAGGAAGGUGUUGUGGUUAAUAACCGCAGCAAUUGACGUUACCCGCAGAAGAAGCACCGGCUAACUCCGUGCCAGCAGCCGCGGUAAUACGGAGGGUGCAAGCGUUAAUCGGAAUUACUGGGCGUAAAGCGCACGCAGGCGGUCUGUCAAGUCGGAUGUGAAAUCCCCGGGCUCAACCUGGGAACUGCAUUCGAAACUGGCAGGCUUGAGUCUUGUAGAGGGGGGUAGAAUUCCAGGUGUAGCGGUGAAAUGCGUAGAGAUCUGGAGGAAUACCGGUGGCGAAGGCGGCCCCCUGGACAAAGACUGACGCUCAGGUGCGAAAGCGUGGGGAGCAAACAGGAUUAGAUACCCUGGUAGUCCACGCCGUAAACGAUGUCUACUUGGAGGUUGUGCCCUUGAGGCGUGGCUUCCGGAGCUAACGCGUUAAGUAGACCGCCUGGGGAGUACGGCCGCAAGGUUAAAACUCAAAUGAAUUGACGGGGGCCCGCACAAGCGGUGGAGCAUGUGGUUUAAUUCGAUGCAACGCGAAGAACCUUACCUGGUCUUGACAUCCACAGAACUUUCCAGAGAUGGAUUGGUGCCUUCGGGAACUGUGAGACAGGUGCUGCAUGGCUGUCGUCAGCUCGUGUUGUGAAAUGUUGGGUUAAGUCCCGCAACGAGCGCAACCCUUAUCCUUUGUUGCCAGCGGUCCGGCCGGGAACUCAAAGGAGACUGCCAGUGAUAAACUGGAGGAAGGUGGGGAUGACGUCAAGUCAUCAUGGCCCUUACGACCAGGGCUACACACGUGCUACAAUGGCGCAUACAAAGAGAAGCGACCUCGCGAGAGCAAGCGGACCUCAUAAAGUGCGUCGUAGUCCGGAUUGGAGUCUGCAACUCGACUCCAUGAAGUCGGAAUCGCUAGUAAUCGUGGAUCAGAAUGCCACGGUGAAUACGUUCCCGGGCCUUGUACACACCGCCCGUCACACCAUGGGAGUGGGUUGCAAAAGAAGUAGGUAGCUUAACCUUCGGGAGGGCGCUUACCACUUUGUGAUUCAUGACUGGGGUGAAGUCGUAACAAGGUAACCGUAGGGGAACCUGCGGGUUGGAUCACCU